This 408-nucleotide ribosomal RNA is filed under the name uncultured bacterium. RNAcentral describes it as "partial 16S ribosomal RNA". It matches the Rfam family "Bacterial small subunit ribosomal RNA", at positions 28 to 526 of the family's 1533-position model. The record is from RNAcentral.
GACGAACGCUGGCGGCGUGCUUAACACAUGCAAGUCGAACGAAGUGGCGAACGGGUGAGCAACGCGUAAUUAACCUGCCCUUCAGAGGGGGACAACAGUUGGAAACGACUGCUAAUACCGCAUACUGAAGGAGGGGAUUUCGUCUGAUUAGCUAGUUGGAGGGGUAACGGCCCAACACGGCGAUGAUCAGUAGCCGGUCUGAGAGGAUGAAGGGCCACAUUGGGAAUGAGACACGGCCCAAACUCCUACGGGAGGCAGCAGGGGGGAAGCUUACGCAAUGGACGAAAGUCUGACGGAGCAAAGCCGCGUUAGUUAUGACGGGCUUCGGGUUGUAAAGCUCUGUUAAUCGGGACGCGGUACCGGAAUAGAAAGCCACGGCUAACUACGUGCCAGCAGCCGCGGUAAUAG